RNAcentral lists this ribosomal RNA (734 nucleotides) under uncultured eukaryote. RNAcentral's name for it is "SSU rRNA". It matches the Rfam family "Eukaryotic small subunit ribosomal RNA", at positions 591 to 1330 of the family's 1831-position model. The record is from RNAcentral.
CUCAUAGCGUAUAUUAAGUUGUUGCAGUUAAAACGCUCGUAGUCGGAUUUCGGGGCGGGCUGCUCGGUCUGCCGAUGGGUAUGCACUGGGUGGCGCGUCCUUCCUUCCGGAGACCGCGCCUACUCUUAACUGAGCGGGCGCGGGAGACGGAACGUUUACUUUGAAAAAAUCAGAGUGUUUCAAGCAGGCAUCUCGCUCUUGCAUGGAUUAGCAUGGGAUAAUGAAAUAGGACUUUGGUGCUAUUUUGUUGGUUUCGAACACCGAAGUAAUGAUUAACAGGGACAGUCAGGGGCACUCGUAUUCCGUCGAGAGAGGUGAAAUUCUCAGACCAACGGAAGACGAACAACUGCGAAAGCAUUUGCCAGGGAUGUUUUCACUGAUCAAGAACGAAAGUUAGGGGAUCGAAGACGAUCAGAUACCGUCGUAGUCUUAACCAUAAACCAUGCCGACUAGGGAUUCGAGGGUGUUCCAUCUGUGACCCCUUGAGCACCUUUCGGGAAACUAAAGUCUUUGGGUUCCGGGGGGAGUAUGGUCGCAAGGCUGAAACUUAAAGGAAUUGACGGAAGGGCACCACCAGGAGUGGAGCCUGCGGCUUAAUUUGACUCAACACGGGGAAACUUACCAGGUCCAGACAUUGUGAGGAUUGACAGAUUGAGAGCUCUUUCUUGAUUCAAUGGGUGGUGGUGCAUGGCCGUUCUUAGUUGGUGGAGUGAUUUGUCUGGUUAAUUCCGUUA